GAUGGGCAUGCGUGCCAUUAGCUGGUUGGUGGGGUAACGGCCCACCAAGGCUACGAUGGCUAGGGGGUCUGGGAGGAUGAUCCCCCACACUGGUACUGAGACACGGACCAGACUCCUACGGGAGGCAGCAGUGAGGAAUAUUGGUCAAUGGGCGGAAGCCUGAACCAGCCAUGCCGCGUGCAGGACGACGGCCCUACGGGUUGUAAACUGCUUUUCCGGGGGAAGAAUAACCCCCCUGCGGGGGGGGAUGCCGGUACCCCGGGAAUAAGGAUCGGCUAACUCCGUGCCAGCAGCCGCGGUAAUACGGAGGAUCCUAGCGUUAUCCGGAUUUACUGGGUUUAAAGGGUGCGUAGGCGGGCGUUUAAGUCCGCGGUGAAAGUCUGCGGCUCAACCGUAGGAUUGCCGUGGAUACUGGACGUCUUGGAUUCGGUCGGGGCGGGCGGAAUGCGUGGUGUAGCGGUGAAAUGCAUAGAUAUCACGCAGAACGCCGAUAGCGAAGGCAGCUCGCCGGGCCGACAUCGACGCUGAGGCACGAAAGCGUGGGGAUCAAACAGGAUUAGAUACCCUGGUAGUCCACGCCGUAAA
RNAcentral lists this ribosomal RNA (585 nucleotides) under uncultured bacterium. Its description in RNAcentral is "bacterial SSU rRNA". It matches the Rfam family "Bacterial small subunit ribosomal RNA", at positions 224 to 806 of the family's 1533-position model. The record is from RNAcentral.